RNAcentral lists this ribosomal RNA (490 nucleotides) under uncultured bacterium. RNAcentral describes it as "SSU rRNA". It matches the Rfam family "Bacterial small subunit ribosomal RNA", at positions 26 to 516 of the family's 1533-position model. The record is from RNAcentral.
AGGACGAACGCUGGCGGCGUGCUUAACACAUGCAAGUGGAGCGACGAACCAGGGCUUGCCCUGGGGCAGAGCCGCGAACGGGUGAGUAACACGUGGGUUACCUGCCUCGAUGACCGGGACAACCCGAGGAAACUCGGGCUAAUACCGGAUGUGCCCGCAAGGGGAAAGGAAGCUUCGGCCUCCGCAUCGAGAUGGGCCCGCGGCCCAUUAGCUUGUUGGUGAGGUAACGGCUCACCAAGGCUUCGAUGGGUAGCUGGUCUGAGAGGACGAUCAGCCACACUGGGACUGAGACACGGCCCAGACUCCUACGGGAGGCAGCAGUGGGGAAUCUUGCGCAAUGCGCGAAAGCGUGACGCAGCAACGCCGCGUGGGGGAAGAAGGCUUUCGGGUUGUAAACCCCUUUCAGUUGGGACGAAGCUUCUCCGGUGAAUAGCCGGACGGAGUGACGGUACCUUCACAAGAAGCACCGGCUAACUACGUGCCAGCAGCC